GAUUAAGCCAUGCAUGUGUAAGUAUAAAUAGUUAACUUUGAAACUGCGAAUGGCUCAUUAUAUCAGUUAUAGUUUAUUUGAUGAAGAAUACUAAUUGGAUAACCGUAGUAAUUCUAGAGCUAAUACAUGUAUAAAGUCUUGUAGACUGCAUUUAUUAGAAUGAAAACCAUAGGUUUCGGCCUAUUCGUGAGUAAUAAUAACUAAUCAUAUCGUAUGCUUAGUAACGAUGUGUCUUUCAAGUUUCUGCCCUAUCAGCUUUCGAUGGUAGUGUAUUGGACUACCAUG
Molecule: ribosomal RNA, 285 nt
Filed under: Blastocystis sp.
Lineage: Eukaryota; Bigyra; Opalinata; Blastocystidae
Description: partial small subunit ribosomal RNA
Rfam family: Eukaryotic small subunit ribosomal RNA
Source: RNAcentral